RNAcentral lists this ribosomal RNA (652 nucleotides) under uncultured Comamonadaceae bacterium. RNAcentral describes it as "bacterial SSU rRNA". It matches the Rfam family "Bacterial small subunit ribosomal RNA", at positions 95 to 743 of the family's 1533-position model. The record is from RNAcentral. Lineage: Bacteria; Pseudomonadati; Pseudomonadota; Betaproteobacteria; Burkholderiales; Comamonadaceae.
GUGGCGAACGGGUGAGUAAUACAUCGGAACGUGCCCGAGAGUGGGGGAUAACGAGGCGAAAGCUUUGCUAAUACCGCAUACGAUCUCAGGAUGAAAGCAGGGGACCGCAAGGCCUUGCGCUAACGGAGCGGCCGAUGGCAGAUUAGGUAGUUGGUGGGAUAAAAGCUUACCAAGCCGACGAUCUGUAGCUGGUCUGAGAGGAUGAUCAGCCACACUGGGACUGAGACACGGCCCAGACUCCUACGGGAGGCAGCAGUGGGGAAUUUUGGACAAUGGGGGCAACCCUGAUCCAGCCAUGCCGCGUGCAGGAUGAAGGCCUUCGGGUUGUAAACUGCUUUUGUACGGAACGAAAAGGCUCUUUCUAAUAAAUGGGGCUCAUGACGGUACCGUAAGAAUAAGCACCGGCUAACUACGUGCCAGCAGCCGCGGUAAUACGUAGGGUGCGAGCGUUAAUCGGAAUUACUGGGCGUAAAGCGUGCGCAGGCGGUUUUGUAAGACAGAGGUGAAAUCCCCGGGCUCAACCUGGGAACUGCCUUUGUGACUGCAAGGCUGGAGUGCGGCAGAGGGGGAUGGAAUUCCGCGUGUAGCAGUGAAAUGCGUAGAUAUGCGGAGGAACACCGAUGGCGAAGGCAAUCCCCUGGGCCUGCACUGA